CUGUGUGAAAUUGUUAUC
RNAcentral lists this ribosomal RNA (18 nucleotides) under Casearia tremula. The record is from RNAcentral. Lineage: Eukaryota; Viridiplantae; Streptophyta; Magnoliopsida; Malpighiales; Salicaceae.